This 1435-nucleotide ribosomal RNA is filed under the name Weissella confusa. RNAcentral describes it as "bacterial SSU rRNA". It matches the Rfam family "Bacterial small subunit ribosomal RNA". The record is from RNAcentral. Lineage: Bacteria; Bacillati; Bacillota; Bacilli; Lactobacillales; Lactobacillaceae.
GUCGAACGCUUUGUGGUUCAACUGAUUUGAAGAGCUUGCUCAGAUAUGACGAUGGACAUUGCAAAGAGUGGCGAACGGGUGAGUAACACGUGGGAAACCUACCUCUUAGCAGGGGAUAACAUUUGGAAACAGAUGCUAAUACCGUAUAACAAUGACAACCGCAUGGUUGUUAUUUAAAAGAUGGUUCUGCUAUCACUAAGAGAUGGUCCCGCGGUGCAUUAGCUAGUUGGUAAGGUAAUGGCUUACCAAGGCGAUGAUGCAUAGCCGAGUUGAGAGACUGAUCGGCCACAAUGGGACUGAGACACGGCCCAUACUCCUACGGGAGGCAGCAGUAGGGAAUCUUCCACAAUGGGCGAAAGCCUGAUGGAGCAACGCCGCGUGUGUGAUGAAGGGUUUCGGCUCGUAAAACACUGUUGUAAGAGAAGAAUGACAUUGAGAGUAACUGUUCAAUGUGUGACGGUAUCUUACCAGAAAGGAACGGCUAAAUACGUGCCAGCAGCCGCGGUAAUACGUAUGUUCCAAGCGUUAUCCGGAUUUAUUGGGCGUAAAGCGAGCGCAGACGGUUAUUUAAGUCUGAAGUGAAAGCCCUCAGCUCAACUGAGGAAUUGCUUUGGAAACUGGAUGACUUGAGUGCAGUAGAGGAAAGUGGAACUCCAUGUGUAGCGGUGAAAUGCGUAGAUAUAUGGAAGAACACCAGUGGCGAAGGCGGCUUUCUGGACUGUAACUGACGUUGAGGCUCGAAAGUGUGGGUAGCAAACAGGAUUAGAUACCCUGGUAGUCCACACCGUAAACGAUGAGUGCUAGGUGUUUGAGGGUUUCCGCCCUUAAGUGCCGCAGCUAACGCAUUAAGCACUCCGCCUGGGGAGUACGACCGCAAGGUUGAAACUCAAAGGAAUUGACGGGGACCCGCACAAGCGGUGGAGCAUGUGGUUUAAUUCGAAGCAACGCGAAGAACCUUACCAGGUCUUGACAUCCCUUGACAACUCCAGAGAUGGAGCGUUCCCUUCGGGGACAAGGUGACAGGUGGUGCAUGGUUGUCGUCAGCUCGUGUCGUGAGAUGUUGGGUUAAGUCCCGCAACGAGCGCAACCCUUAUUACUAGUUGCCAGCAUUCAGUUGGGCACUCUAGUGAGACUGCCGGUGACAAACCGGAGGAAGGUGGGGAUGACGUCAAAUCAUCAUGCCCCUUAUGACCUGGGCUACACACGUGCUACAAUGGCGUAUACAACGAGUUGCCAACCCGCGAGGGUGAGCUAAUCUCUUAAAGUACGUCUCAGUUCGGAUUGUAGGCUGCAACUCGCCUACAUGAAGUCGGAAUCGCUAGUAAUCGCGGAUCAGCACGCCGCGGUGAAUACGUUCCCGGGUCUUGUACACACCGCCCGUCACACCAUGAGAGUUUGUAACACCCAAAGCCGGUGGGGUAACCUUCGGGAGCCA